UCUGCCUUCGGUUUAUUUAAAAUUAAAAAAAAAGAACUGUUCUUAUUUUAAUUUAUAAUCAGAUUAUGAAUGCACUGUUACAGAGGCAUAGUUACAAACUGAUCCUUUUAGAAGAAUAUCAAGUAUUAAAUAAAAAAUUUUAUGCUUAAACACCCCCACAUUACUAUUUGAACAAAGUAGUUUAGUUACAUUAUUUUUAAUUAAACAAACAGUUAAAUUAUGAACCUUUUUUUCCCCCUUGAACUGUAUAUUCAUUGGGUCUUGCAAAAGACAAGCCUUCACACUCAUCAAUAUUGCAGUCCAUUGCCACGACAUGUUUUUGUGAACCCAUAGCUCUCAAUGUAUCAUAACUAAUGAGUUACAUUUAGUCUAGUGUAUAUAUUCUGUUUGAUCCGAAGGAAACUGGACCCUCCUAAAUCAAACAUUUACAGAUGACUUGCUGUGACAGUGCAACAAUUAAAUUCCCACUAUAAUUAAGCUAGACUAUAAUUGUAGCUUUUUUAUGUUUUCAUUUUAAUUGAAGAAACAAUUUUAUGGUGUGGGCCUGAUGCAUGAUUUGUUUUAGAAUCAAAGGCUGCGUCACAGUGACUCGAGAGUACAGAGUAAUUUAACUGCGUGUUACAGUAAUGUCAUCUUUGGCAGCCCCCUUCUGCCCUUUUGCUUCAUCUAGAACAGAAUCAGUGAACGGCGAGGGAUUCCCUUAAAAAUACCUGCAAAUAAAUAAGUACAAUCCAACUGCCGACAUCUGACCUUGACCACACUGAGGUAAAAGUAAUUAAAGAUGUAAAGCCCACCACGUCCCUGGUUUAGACGCCAGAGGAACUGCUUCUUCUGCUGUGGAGAGGGUGGAGUCUCCCUCGGUUUUAGGGAAGCCCCCCUGCGGGGUCAGAGUUAGUUUGAGCAAUUCCUGCGCUCCAUUCAAGACCCUGUUGAUUGCACAGCGAUUUCCACCGACGUCAGUGGAAUCCAUAGCCACAAGUGGUCGCCAGAAUCAGCCUCUGUCCGGAACCUUCUCUCUGCCAUCUCCUCUCAUCUCUCGGACCCCCAUCGACGACGACGACUCCUGCCGAAGGCCUGCGGAAGAAUCCACCGGUGACGCCACCGAAGUCUGCUCUUCGCAUGUUUGGGAAUCCAGGAUCCUGCUCUCGAUCUCUCACCUACCUGCUUAUUAAAACAUCUUACCUGCCA
Oryzias latipes (Japanese medaka) is the source of this 1188-nucleotide long non-coding RNA. RefSeq lists it as uncharacterized. The record is from RefSeq and is a predicted model, not a curated record. Lineage: Eukaryota; Metazoa; Chordata; Actinopteri; Beloniformes; Adrianichthyidae.